RNAcentral lists this transfer RNA (68 nucleotides) under Marmota monax (woodchuck). RNAcentral describes it as "tRNA.Val". Lineage: Eukaryota; Metazoa; Chordata; Mammalia; Rodentia; Sciuridae. The record is from RNAcentral.
GUGGUGGCUCAGUGGCAAAGGGCUUGCUUCACACAUGUGAGGUACUGGGUUCAAUCCUCAGCACCACA